This 371-nucleotide ribosomal RNA is filed under the name uncultured bacterium. RNAcentral's name for it is "bacterial SSU rRNA". It matches the Rfam family "Bacterial small subunit ribosomal RNA", at positions 527 to 896 of the family's 1533-position model. The record is from RNAcentral.
GUAGGAGACGAGCGUUAUCCGGAUUUACUGGGUGUAAAGCGCGUGCAGGCGGUAUGGUAAGUUGGAUGUGAAAGCUCCUGGCUUAACUGGGAGAGGUCGUACAAGACUGCCAAACUAGAGGACGGCAGAGGGGAGUGGAAUUCCCAGUGUAGCGGUGAAAUGCAUAGAUAUUCGGAAGAACACCAGUGGCGAAGGCGGCUCUCUGGGCUGUACCUGACGCUCAGACGCGAAAGCUAGGGUAGCAAACGGGAUUAGAGACCCCGGUAGUCCUAGCCGUAAACGAUGUGAACUUGGCGUAGGAGGGUUCAAAUCCAUCUGUGCCGAAGCAAACGCGAUAAGUUCACCACCUGGGGACUACGGCCGCAAGGUUA